RNAcentral lists this ribosomal RNA (325 nucleotides) under uncultured eukaryote. Its description in RNAcentral is "partial 18S ribosomal RNA". It matches the Rfam family "Eukaryotic small subunit ribosomal RNA", at positions 1470 to 1796 of the family's 1831-position model. The record is from RNAcentral.
CCCUUAGAUGUUCUGGGCCGCACGCGCGCUACACUGACUGCUCCAACAAGUUACCUGGGCUGACAAGCAUCCGGGAAAUCUUGCAAAGGCAGUCGUGAUGGGGAUAGAUUCUUGUAAUUUUUGAUCUUCAACGAGGAAUUCCUAGUAAACGCAAGUCAUCAGCUUGCAUUGAUUACGUCCCUGCCCUUUGUACACACCGCCCGUCGCAUCUACCGAUUGAAUGGAGAGGCAAAAUCUUCGGACCGUGACGCUUGGGAGUCAAAUCCCGGGCUGUCGUGGGAAGUGGAUUAAACCUUUCUAUUUAGAGGAAGGUAAAGUCGUAACA